GUUCACAACAGCUCCGGGCUUGUUCAGGCUGCUUUAGGGCGACGAUUUUUACACAAAAAACGGAGUAAGCUUUCGCGGUAACGCGGCUCGUGACAUCUACUUUUAAAUCACAGGCGUCGUCGGUUACUUCCCUAACUUAAUUACACGUAAAUAACGAUUCCAGAUUUAAAGCCUGCAAACGCGUUUUGAGUACUUGUCGAAAUAUACGAUCUUUUCUUUUCUUCAUCUGGAUAAUAAGCAAAUUACACAAGGCGAAACGAGGUUACGGCGCCUCAUCGAACCGGGUCCUAAAGCCCGCCGAGUUGCUGGUCACAUUUCCCCAAAUGGUUAAACUGUUUUUAAAUUCUUCGACAUAAUGGAAAAUGUUCUGUUGGAGCAAGGCUAACCGCGAACGCUGCCUGUAUGUCAGUAGCGUGCACGCUGACGUAACAAUCACGCGCUUUUGAAUCCGAAAUUACACUUUUUAUUUAAUUUUUUAUUUUCUUCUUGCCAUUUUUUUAAUUAGUGAGUCGAAACAUAUUUUGUGAGCACACGAAGAAAAAAAAGGACAGGAAAAAAAAGGAGUCGUCCAGUUGAGUAAUGGUCAUUAAUACGAUCCACUGGUUCAGGAAGGGCUCUGCUGGGAGCGGACUCGGUCCGCUGCGUCUACAUCCUCGACCCCUGGUUCGCGGGCUCCUCCAACGUCGGCAUCAACAGGUGGAGCAUUUCUGUGUUUCUGUGUGGGUGUGUGUGUGUGUGUGAUCGCUGCAGGUUUUGACACCGAAGGUCUGGCGUCCGCCGUGUGGCCGGGGGGGGGGGGGGGGGGAACCGAAGCCCUCGCACGGUUCGUGAGGCAUCUGGAACUACCCGACAUCUCUGGGUUCAUAUUCAUAGGACAAAAGGUCCUUGUAUAUAUAAUGAAUUUGCUAAAUUUCACAUUACGACUUGUAAAUAUUGUGCGUUGUAUGUUUUAUCUUUUGUGUAGCUAUUUAUUUAUUUUUUUAUAUGAUAAAUUGUGGAUGUUUUUUUGUUUAGUUUAAAUAAAAUUUAAACAUUUGUAUACUGUAUAAAUAUUGACAUUCUAAUACCGCUGCCUUGUUUAUUCUGCUUUUCUCUAUCGAGUGUUUAUUUUUAUUUUGUAUGAUUGGUCAUCCUGUUUCAUUCUAAAAAAUAAAAAACACAUUUAAAUGAU
Molecule: long non-coding RNA, 1171 nt
Organism: Pseudoliparis swirei
Lineage: Eukaryota; Metazoa; Chordata; Actinopteri; Perciformes; Liparidae
Exons: 2
Source: RefSeq, a predicted model, not a curated record